Molecule: transfer RNA, 68 nt
Filed under: Marmota monax (woodchuck)
Lineage: Eukaryota; Metazoa; Chordata; Mammalia; Rodentia; Sciuridae
Description: tRNA.Ala
Source: RNAcentral
GGAUUGUGGCUCAGUGGCAGAGCGCUUGCCUAGCACAUACGAGGCCUUGGGUUCGAUCCUCAGUACCA